UUGGUGAUACAGAUUGAAUCUACUACGGGAA
Molecule: non-coding RNA, 31 nt
Filed under: Rattus norvegicus (Norway rat)
Lineage: Eukaryota; Metazoa; Chordata; Mammalia; Rodentia; Muridae
Source: RNAcentral